AGGAAGGAAAUGAGAUGUCAGUUUAGGUAAAAUAGAAAAAGCACUUCACAUACAACAACACAAUUCAUUCACUCAUUCUAAUUACAUUUAUAGAAAUAUUACAAGAACUGAAUAUGGUAAAAGACCAUAUCAAGGACAUGCUCAAAACUGUUUGAUCAAAGAUUCAAAUGAUGGAAACAAAUAAAUAAAACCCACUAGCUCAAAACAUGUAGCACAGCUCGAAUAACAUGCAAGAAGCCCAGUUUGUCAGUAGGAGUAGUCUACUCAACUAUAGCUACUUGACAAAUAAAUUAACUUAAAGUUAACCCUUGAUCAGUGCUUGUCAUCGAAACAAAAGAGCAAUCCUGGAACUAAUAAUGUCAUAAAUCUCAACUUCUUGCAGCUUUGCAAACCUUGAAGAAACCCGAGAGCAAUCCUCAAUAAAGAAAAAGAAAAUAAGCAUAGCAUCCCCGCCCAUAAAGUCAAUCUAACAUUAAGCCAUUAGAUCAUAAUAUUUAUUGAUCCACUAAAUGCUUUUCAACAUUGCAAGUGAUCAAGAUAAUGGAAACAUGGU
Molecule: long non-coding RNA, 553 nt
Organism: Populus euphratica (Euphrates poplar)
Lineage: Eukaryota; Viridiplantae; Streptophyta; Magnoliopsida; Malpighiales; Salicaceae
Exons: 3
Source: RefSeq, a predicted model, not a curated record